UUGAUAUACGACAAGCAUAACUUCUGAAACUUUUCGCUUUUUACACUUAAUGACCUCAUCCGCCUACAUUUUUGAGAUCGGAGGUAUGAUAUAUGUAACACAGGGUAGAUGAGCUUUCAUUUGAUAUGCGACAACGCCAUGUUCUAAAAAGUUUGAUUUUUGCACUUAAUAACCCCAUCCAACCAAUUUUGGAGGUUGGGAAUUGAUAUUUCAAAUGUACACAUCAUGACCUUUCAUUUGAUAUACAACAACCCUAUAGUAAAAGAAAAUUUAUUUUUUGCACUCAAUGACCCA
RNAcentral lists this long non-coding RNA (294 nucleotides) under Mytilus galloprovincialis (Mediterranean mussel). The record is from RNAcentral. Lineage: Eukaryota; Metazoa; Mollusca; Bivalvia; Mytilida; Mytilidae.